This 253-nucleotide ribosomal RNA is filed under the name uncultured bacterium. RNAcentral describes it as "partial 16S ribosomal RNA". It matches the Rfam family "Bacterial small subunit ribosomal RNA", at positions 524 to 776 of the family's 1533-position model. The record is from RNAcentral.
UACGUAGGCAGCAAGCGUUGUUCGGAGUUACUGGGCGUAAAGGGCGCGUAGGCGGACAGCUUAGUCAGAGGUGAAAGCCCAGGGCUCAACCUUGGAAUUGCCUUUGAUACUGGCUGUCUUGAGUUCGGGAGAGGUGAGUGGAAUGCCGAGUGUAGAGGUGAAAUUCGUAGAUAUUCGGCGGAACACCAGUGGCGAAGGCGACUCACUGGCCCGAUACUGACGCUGAGGCGCGAAAGCGUGGGGAGCAAACAGG